CAAGAAAAGAAAUGGUAGUAAGAUAAUAUGACAAACAAAUAGCAAGAUUGAUACAACGCAAGUGAAGCAAUAGGUAGUAAUACACAUGGAAGAAAAGGAGAAUAACAUGAUUACUAAAGGGAAAGGUUAGAAUAAAUGAAGCUACAAAAAAUAAGAAAAUACAAUAAAUGAAGCUACAAAAAAUAAAACAUGGGGCAAAGAGACAGAUAUUAUAUACCUGUUUUUGUUGUGCUAGCUUUCAUCCAUGAAAUGAAGAAAAAGAUUAAAUGUGCUUCCUUGUUAUACUUUAAACUGGCAAUUUCAGAUUUUAUCACAUAGCCACUGAUGACACCAGGAGGAGGUGGAAUUGCUAGAAUUCCUCAAUCCUUAAUCAGAGAUAUCGUGGAGAGACUGCUUUCCCAUUCCCUUAGCGGGGGGAGAAUUCGAAUUAUUUAGGCCAAUAAC
This 444-nucleotide long non-coding RNA is filed under the name Solanum tuberosum (potato). RNAcentral describes it as "long non-coding RNA (STUB_LNC006676)". Lineage: Eukaryota; Viridiplantae; Streptophyta; Magnoliopsida; Solanales; Solanaceae. The record is from RNAcentral.